CAGGACGAACGCUGGCGGCGUGGAUUAGGCAUGCAAGUCGAACGGUUUUGAACAUCAUCUUAUCCGGCUUGCCGGAUAAGACGUUCAGAAUAGUGGCGAAAGGGUGAGUAAUGCAAGGGUAACAUGCCCUUAAGCUGGGGAUAACUCCGAGAAAUCGGAGCUAAUACCGAAUGUGGUCCUUUGAUGGAAUCAUUAGAGGACUAAAGAUGGGGACCCUUCGGGGCCUUUCGCUUAAGGAGUGGCUCUUGUCCUAUUAGCCUGUUGGUGGGGUAACGGCUCACCAAAGCAAUAAUGGGUAGCUGGUCUGAGAGGAUGAUCAGCCACACUGGGACUGAGACACUGCCCAGACUCCUACGGGAGGCUGCAGUCGAGAAUCUUUCGCAAUGGGGGAAACCCUGACGAAGCGACGCCGCGUGGAGGAUGAAGGCCCUCGGGUUGUAAACUCCUGUCACUUGGGAUGAAAAGUGGGGCCAUUAAUACCGGUUCUGCCUGACAGUACCUUGAAAGGAAGCUCCGGCUAACUACGUGCCAGCAGCCGCGGUAAUACGUAGGGAGCAAGCGUUGUUCGGAUUUACUGGGCGUAAAGGGUGUGUAGGUUGCUUGGUAAGUCAGUUGUGAAAUCCUUACUGCUCAACAGAAGAAUUGCAAUUGAUACUACCAGGCUAGAGUUCGGUAGAGGAGAGCGGAAUUCUCGGUGUAGCGGUGAAAUGCGUAGAUAUCGAGAAGAACACCAGUGGCGAAGGCGGCUUUCUGGACGCACACUGACGCUCAGGCGCGAAAGCGCGGGUAGCAAACAGGAUUAGAUACCCUGGUAGUCCACGCCAUAAACGAUGGGUACUAGGUGUCGGGGGUAUCGACCCCUCCGGUGCCGCAGUUAACGCACUAAGUACCCCGUCUGGGGAUUAUGGUCGCAAGGCUGAAACUCAAAGGAAUUGACGGGGCCCCGCACAAGCGGUGGAGCAUGUGGUUUAAUUCGACGCAACGCGAAGAACCUUACCUGGGCUUGACAUGCUUGGGACGGCGCUGGAAACAGCGUCUCUCCUUCGGGAGCCCUUGCACAGGUGCUGCAUGGCUGUCGUCAGCUCGUGUCGUGAGAUGUUGGGUUAAGUCCCGCAACGAGCGCAACCCUCGUUACUAGUUGCCAUCAGUUCGGCUGGGCACUCUAGUGAGACUGCCGGUGAUAAACCGGAGGAAGGUGAGGAUGAUGUCAAGUCAUCAUGGCCCUUACGCCCAGGGCUACACACGUGCUACAAUGGUCGGCACAAAGGGUCGCUAAGCCGCGAGGUGGAGCUAAUCCCAAAAAGCCGGCCUCAGUUUGGAUUGGAGUCUGCAACCCGACUCCAUGAAGGCGGAAUCGCUAGUAAUCGCGGAUCAGCAUGCCGCGGUGAAUAUGUUCCNCGGGGCUUGUACACACCGCCCGUCAUAUCACCCGAGUCGGGGAUACCCGAAGUCCGUGACCCAACC
RNAcentral lists this ribosomal RNA (1464 nucleotides) under uncultured organism. RNAcentral's name for it is "bacterial SSU rRNA". It matches the Rfam family "Bacterial small subunit ribosomal RNA". The record is from RNAcentral.